Molecule: RNase P RNA, 394 nt
Filed under: Muribaculaceae bacterium
Lineage: Bacteria; Pseudomonadati; Bacteroidota; Bacteroidia; Bacteroidales; Muribaculaceae
Description: RNase P RNA component class A
Rfam family: Bacterial RNase P class A
About the family: Ribonuclease P (RNase P) is a ubiquitous endoribonuclease, found in archaea, bacteria and eukarya as well as chloroplasts and mitochondria. Its best characterised activity is the generation of mature 5'-ends of tRNAs by cleaving the 5'-leader elements of precursor-tRNAs.
Source: RNAcentral
GCAGAAGGGAGGUCUGUCGCUUCAUGCCGGGUGCAUGAAGAGGAAAGUCCGGGCAACCCAGAGCACCAUACUUGGUAACGUCAAGCCGGCGGCGACGUCGGGGACAAUGUGACAGAAAACAACCGCCCUCUGGCCUCAGGGCCUCAGGGUAAGGGUGAAAAGGCGGGGUAAGAGCCCACCGGAUGCCGUGGCGACACGGUAUGCCGCACAUCCUAUGGGUUGCAAGGCCAAAUACACCGGCAAUUAAGGGCUGCUCGUCCAUUGCCGGGGGGUAGGCUGCUCGGCGCUUCGGCGCCGGAGCCGUCUGGCGACAGACGGUCAAGAUAAAUGACAGACGGCGGUUCUCCUUCCUAGGAUAUCGCUACAUAACCCGGCUUACAUCCCUUCUGCAUUC